GAUGAACGCUGGCGGCGUGCCUAAUACAUGCAAGUCGAGCGAACAGACGAGGAGCUUGCUCCUCUGACGUUAGCGGCGGCCGGGUGAGUAACACGUGGAUAACCUACCUAUAAGACUGGGAUAACUUCGGGAAACCGGCGCUAAUACCGGAUAAUAUAUUGAACCGCAUGGUUAAAUAGUGAAAGACGGUUUUGCUGUCACUUAUAGAUGGAUCCGCGCCGCUUUAGCUAGUUGGUAAGGUAACGGCUUACCAAGGCAACGAUGCGUAGCCGACCUGAGAGGGGGAUCGGCCACACUGGAACUGAGACACGGUCCAGACUCCUACGGGAGGCAGCAGUAGGGAAUCGUCCGCAAUGGGCGAAAGCCUGACGGAGCAACGCCGCGUGAGUGAUGAAGGUCUUCGGAUCGUAAAACUCUGUUAUUAGGGAAGAACAAAUGUGUAAGUAACUAUGCACGUCUUGACGGUACCUAAUCAGAAAGCCAGGGCUAACUACGUG
This 497-nucleotide ribosomal RNA is filed under the name uncultured bacterium. Its description in RNAcentral is "partial 16S ribosomal RNA". It matches the Rfam family "Bacterial small subunit ribosomal RNA", at positions 28 to 507 of the family's 1533-position model. The record is from RNAcentral.